Molecule: long non-coding RNA, 400 nt
Organism: Lontra canadensis (Northern American river otter)
Lineage: Eukaryota; Metazoa; Chordata; Mammalia; Carnivora; Mustelidae
Exons: 3
Source: RefSeq, a predicted model, not a curated record
GAGGAGAAGCUGGGAGGGUCCCAACCAACCACAGGGCGUUCUCUGGAGGCCCAGCUGAGGCGCGUGGGCGGAAACGGCCCCUGGUCUCCGCUUGCUUUCUGUUUGAAACACUCACGGAGCACACCACAAGGUUUUUCAGAGUGACACGAUAUAUAUUUAAGGGUGAGUCAAACCUCAAACUACAUUGCCCGAGAGUGGAGCUGCUGCAAGGAAAGUGGUUAAAUUAUUGGCAUGAGACACAGGACGCCGGAGCCUAUGGCGUGGAGAAACCACUAGUAAAAGUGGAAGGAAACGACUUUUGAAGAUAGUGCUACCUGUGCUAAGAAACCUCAAGUGCUUACCAACCGUUUCUGAUCAAACCUGAAAUAGGCUCCACACCCAGUGGGCUUGAACUCAUGAC